GCCUGAGUGGCUCAGUCAGUUAAGUGUCUGACUUUGGCUCAGGUCAUGAUCUGGUGGUUUGUGGGUUCGAGCCCCACCUCAGGCU
Molecule: transfer RNA, 85 nt
Filed under: Felis catus (domestic cat)
Lineage: Eukaryota; Metazoa; Chordata; Mammalia; Carnivora; Felidae
Rfam family: tRNA
About the family: Transfer RNA (tRNA) molecules are approximately 80 nucleotides in length.
Source: Rfam by way of RNAcentral